RNAcentral lists this ribosomal RNA (459 nucleotides) under uncultured bacterium. Its description in RNAcentral is "partial 16S ribosomal RNA". It matches the Rfam family "Bacterial small subunit ribosomal RNA", at positions 338 to 795 of the family's 1533-position model. The record is from RNAcentral.
CCUACGGGAGGCAGCAGUGAGGAAUAUUGGUCAAUGGGAGAGAUCCUGAACCAGCAAAGCCGCGUGAGGGAAGCCGGCCCUAUGGGUUGUAAACCUCUUUUGUCGGAGAACAAAACCCGGGACGUGUCCCGGACUGCGUGUAUCCGAAGAAAAAGCAUCGGCUAACUCCGUGCAAGCAGCCGCGGUAAUCCGGAGGAUGCGCGCUGUAUCCGGAUUUAUUGGGUUUAAAGGGUGAGUAGGCGGUCCGUUAAGUCAGCGGGAACAUUGCGGGGCUCAACCCCGUCGAGCCGUUGAAACUGGCAGACUUGAGUUGGCGAGAGGUACGCGGAAUGCGCGGUGUAGCGGUGAAAUGCAUAGAUAUCGCGCAGAACUCCGAUUGCGAAGGCAGCGUACCGGCGCCAGACUGACGCUGAGGCACGAAAGCGUGGGGAUCGAACAGGAUUAGAUACCCGAGUAGUC